Molecule: ribosomal RNA, 445 nt
Filed under: uncultured bacterium
Lineage: Bacteria
Description: bacterial SSU rRNA
Rfam family: Bacterial small subunit ribosomal RNA
Source: RNAcentral
GUGAGGAAUAUUGGUCAAUGGGCGCAAGCCUGAACCAGCCAUCCCGCGUGAAGGAAGAAGGCCCUAUGGGUUGUAAACUUCUUUUCCAGAGGAAGAAAAAUCCCGACGUGUCGGGACUUGCCAGUACCCUGGGAAUAAGCAUCGGCUAACUCCGUGCCAGCAGCCGCGGUAAUACGGAGGAUGCAAGCGUUAUCCGGAUUUAUUGGGUUUAAAGGGUGCGUAGGCGGGAUAAUAAGUCAGUGGUGAAACCCUGCAGCUUAACUGUAGACUUGCCAUUGAUACUGUUAUUCUUGAGUGUGGUCAAGGUAGGCGGAAUGUGUAAUGUAGCGGUGAAAUGCUUAGAUAUUACACAGAACACCGAUUGCGAAGGCAGCUUGCUGGGCCAUUACUGACGCUCAUGCACGAAAGCGUGGGGAUCGAACAGGAUUAGAAACCCCUGUAGUCC